This is a long non-coding RNA of Etheostoma cragini (Arkansas darter), 149 nucleotides long. RefSeq lists it as uncharacterized. Lineage: Eukaryota; Metazoa; Chordata; Actinopteri; Perciformes; Percidae. The record is from RefSeq and is a predicted model, not a curated record. The transcript is spliced from 3 exons.
GACAUUUGUUUGAAUACUGAAUUGGUGACACUAAUCUUGGGUGCCCACCUUCAAACUGUGGUGAUUGUACAGAUCUCCGGUGCUGUCGGGUUGAAGAAGUUGUGUCAAGAAUCCAUGUUUUGCCAAAACAUACACUUAAUACCUUCUUU